RNAcentral lists this transfer RNA (86 nucleotides) under Colletotrichum orbiculare MAFF 240422. Its description in RNAcentral is "tRNA-Pro for anticodon AGG". It matches the Rfam family "tRNA". Rfam says of the family: Transfer RNA (tRNA) molecules are approximately 80 nucleotides in length. Their secondary structure includes four short double-helical elements and three loops (D, anti-codon, and T loops). The record is from RNAcentral. Lineage: Eukaryota; Fungi; Ascomycota; Sordariomycetes; Glomerellales; Glomerellaceae.
GCCCUGAUGGUCUAGCGGUAUGAUUCUCCCUUAGGGCUGCGAAGCAUGCAUGGGAGAGGUCCCAGGUUCGAUCCCUGGUUAGGGCC